GCCUUCUUGGCUCAGUUGGUUAGAGCGCAGGUCUCAUAGCAAUAUGAUGUAGAUUACUACGCAAUCCUGAGGUCACAAGUUCGAGCCUUGUAGAGGGCA
Molecule: non-coding RNA, 99 nt
Organism: Sphagnurus paluster
Lineage: Eukaryota; Fungi; Basidiomycota; Agaricomycetes; Agaricales; Lyophyllaceae
Source: the annotation of a GenBank genome assembly